Camellia sinensis is the source of this 215-nucleotide non-coding RNA. The record is from RefSeq and is a predicted model, not a curated record. NCBI's taxonomy places the organism in Eukaryota, Viridiplantae, Streptophyta, Magnoliopsida, Ericales, Theaceae.
ACAACAGUGUUGUUCGCCUUUUUCUACUACCUAAGUCUAACCAACCACAUACCUUUGUUGUUGUUACUCUCGAUCCACCUAUCCGUAAAGGCCAAACUUUGUACCCACAUAUUGUCUUGCAGUUUGAAACAGACUAUGUGGUUGAAAGCACCCUGUCAAUGACUGAAGAUCUUUUGAAUAGCAAAUACAAGGACAAGUUAGAACCAUCAUAUAAG